Molecule: unclassified non-coding RNA, 299 nt
Filed under: Glomus sp.
Lineage: Eukaryota; Fungi; Glomeromycota; Glomeromycetes; Glomerales; Glomeraceae
Description: partial contains 5.8S ribosomal RNA and internal transcribed spacer 2
Rfam family: 5.8S ribosomal RNA (bases 1-65)
Source: RNAcentral
GUGAAUCAUCAAAUUUUUGAACGCAAAUUGCACCCUCCUCGGUGAGUAUGCCUGUUUGAGGGUCAUCCUAUAAAAAUCUACAUCUUUGCUGUUUCGCGUUUGCGUUGGUCUUUAAUUGGGUCAUCUUAAAUCCUUUUUAUUUAAGCGACUUAAAAUUUUCUUUUGGUUCCAGUAGCUUUUCUAAGAUCUAUUUCGUUACACGUUUAAGGUAUCUAUUUUUACUAGACUUUACCAUCAUAUCUGAUCGCGUCCAUAAUCUUUCAUUUACUGACCUCAUACAGGUAAAAGUACCCUCUGAA